This 366-nucleotide long non-coding RNA is filed under the name Arabidopsis lyrata. RNAcentral describes it as "long non-coding RNA (ALYR_LNC000112)". The record is from RNAcentral. Lineage: Eukaryota; Viridiplantae; Streptophyta; Magnoliopsida; Brassicales; Brassicaceae.
AAAAGGAGAAGAAAUCCAUACUAAAAACGUCUUCAAGCUCUUCAGCUCGUCAUCAAGCUCUUCAGCUCGUCUUCAAGCUCUUCAGCUCGUCAUCAAGCUCUUCAGCUCGUCAUCAAACUCUUCAGCUCGUCAUCAAACUCUUCAGCUCUUCAGCUCGUCAUCAAACUCUUCAGCUCGUCAUAAAGCUCUUCAGCUCGACAUCAAGCUCUUUAGCUCGUCAUCAAGCUCUUCAGCUCGUCUGCAAGCUAUUCAGCUCGUCUUCAAGCUCCUCAGCUCGUCAUCAAGCUCUUCAGCUCGUCUUCAAGCUCUUCAGCUCGCCUAACGAUCCAGAUCGUCAAUCUCAUCUCCCGGCUCGUCUAGCUUCUC